CCCAGGAGAACCCAUGUGUAACUCCGGCAAAACCCAACCCCCAUCUCUCCACUCCUCCUGUCUCUGAGCUCCCGGGGAUGUGCAACGAAACCGAAAGGGUUGUGAUUGAUGGCGGAAGUUUGCCGGACUUGAUGAGACGGUUGCAGUUGGGUGAGACCCAAAGCUCAGCCCCAGCGGGCCAUGACGGAGAGCGGAACCUGAGCGGCUCUCGCUCGGCGACGGACGGCAAUGCUGGAGCGCGGAGCCCCGGGCAGCACAACACCGGGACCUCGGCCGCCGACGCGCUCCCUCCCUCUCCUCCGCACACAACAAUACCAGCAGAAGCAGUAAAAUCCUAAAUAGGACACAAAAAGACACCGAGCGAGUGGCCCGGGCCGAGACGAGUGAUCUCCCUCCGAGGACGCGCUGCCUGCUGCCUGCUGCCUCCUCCUGCUGCUGUUUUUUGCACGAGAGAAGUGACUGAGCGUGAUUGAGUAAGAGCUGCGCGGCGGGGUCGCACAUAAUGGGAAUUAGCGCUCCUGAGGACCACCCGAUAAACCAUGAUAAAUGUGCGUCACCAGGCCUGUGCUCUGUAUCCUUGUGGUAACAGUACUGUUCGGAAGCAUCACCUACAGCAGAUGCAAGUGUAACUACUCAGAGAUACUGAGCGCUUACAAAGAGCUGAUCUUCACUGAGCUCCAGAACCUAAAUCUUACUGGGCCUUAUACCACAUCCAAGGAAAAGGACAGAUGUCCUUCUGGAAAGGUGCAACACAUUCUGAGGUCAAUCUAUGGCAUGACGCAGUUGUUCAAGUGCCAGAAUACAGGACGUUCGCAACAGGAGGUGGGAAAGACUGUGGAGAAGAUGGAGCAGCUAAUAAGAGCAAACUGCAGACGUGCUCAUCCGGGUAAAAGGCCAAAAAAUGAAACGUGUGAAACAGCAAGGGGCCUGAAGCGUCGAAGGAGGAAGAAAAAGAAAAUCAUUGAGGCCUUGAUAUUGUGCUGGCAGAAGUUACAGGCCAUAUAUGUUCCUAAACCAAGAAGCAGAGGGUAAUCGCAGAUUAUUUCAAACUGCAUUGUCCUCCUGCAGGGCUCAUUUAAACCCGAAACUGAAAGAAUCAUAUAGCUAAUAUAUGACUGCAACUAUGUUUAGUGUUUCCUGCCAGUGGCUUGUCGGUUAAAUGUAAGCGUCGGACGUAAGUGCUGACGUGGCCACGCUUCGUACGUUCAUGUGAUGGUUCAAAUAAAGCUAUUCAAACAUAUAUCUGAAUGUAUGCU
This 1256-nucleotide long non-coding RNA is filed under the name Scleropages formosus (Asian bonytongue). Its description in RNAcentral is "lncRNA (ENSSFOG00015025256.1)". Lineage: Eukaryota; Metazoa; Chordata; Actinopteri; Osteoglossiformes; Osteoglossidae. The record is from RNAcentral.